Molecule: transfer RNA, 80 nt
Filed under: Lentisphaerae bacterium GWF2_52_8
Lineage: Bacteria; Pseudomonadati; Lentisphaerota
Description: tRNA-Arg
Source: RNAcentral
ACCUUUUCGUUAAUUUUGUAUCUAAAACUAGUAGUUUCCUAAACUAUUGGUCGUGGGUUCAAUUCCCGCCCCGGGUACCA